GGUGUUUUGAAACAUAAAAGGUUGCACCCUCGUGUGUGCCUUGUGUUAAAAGGAGCCCACGCAGCCGACAGCAGCAGGAGCAAAUGGCCUGCUCUGAUGGGGACAGGCAGGAAGUCCUUCGGGGCAUUUCUGUUUCAUCACAGCUUUUCCUGGGGCUGGUGAGUCUGUUGGGCCUUUGGUUGACAGGGAAGCGCAUGAGCCCAUGUUGGUGGAUACAAAGCAUUUGGGGCCUGGCAGAAUCCAGAGAGGGGAAGAAGGUGGCCCUAGGAACUGGCCUAUUUUGUGAUCCCCAAAGACCAGUGUGGCUGACCCAUUAGUGCUACAAAUCCAUAGCCAGGCCUCAGGACAGCUUUUGGUUUUGUUUUUAUUAAGCCACUGACCAGUGGUUAGGAGCAAGUGGAUCAUAACCUUAACAUUUUUAUUGAAAAUUGGAGCCUUGACCUGGGGAUGUGAAACCCACAAGCUGCACAUUUCUCUGUAGACUGCAUCUGGACACUUGUCACAUUGCCGACUGGGUCUGACAGUCAUCGCCAGGACUGCCUGGGCCUGUGUUCAUUCCCAGUCAAUGAGUCCUGGGACACAGACGUCCCGGACUCGUGCCCGGUGCCAGGCCUCAUGCCUGCCCAAGGAUGAAGACAUACCUGCCAUCACCAUGCAAGUGCCAGGAGCUCUUCUCAGCGCUUAUGUGUGGGAACACGAGUAAUCCCACACCCUAGGAGGUGGCACUACUGUUACCCCAGUGUGCAGAUGAAGAUCAGAGGCCAGAAAAGGGGGGUGACUUCAGUCACACAGCAAGCAUGUGGCAGAGCUGGAGUCCAGGUCGUCAUUCUGAGCCUGCCCCUGGCUGGGCCAUUGUGCUUUGUCACCUCUCUACAGAAGGUGGGCCUCAUCCCCUACAUCAGGCCCCAAGCCUGGCCAGCGCUCUUCCCACCCUGCCCCAGGCCACCUGCUGUGCCUGUGAGGGCUGUGUGUGAGCACUCUCUGGAGCGCCGCUGAUUCUCGUCUCUCCCCUGUGCCCUGCCAGGAAGCUGAUCAGUAUCUCCUUUGGGGACCUGAACCCUUUCCCCCUACGCCAGAUCCGGAACCGACGCGCCUACCACUUGGAGAAAGUCCGGCUGGAGCUGACCGAGCUGGAGGCCAUCCGUGAGGACUUCCUGCGUGAGCGGGAUACCAGCCCUGACAAGGGUGAGCUGGUCAGUGACGAGGAGGAGGAUACCUGAGUGGGCUCCGGGAUGCUGCUCUUCCUUCCUUCACAACCAAAGUGUGCCCAAAGGGUGAAAGUGCACUUAAAAGCCAGAAUGUAACGUGUGUGGCCUCUGGGGAUCUGCUGGGCAGAUGUCCCAAGCCAGGCUGCCCUUCCUCAUUUCCCACUGUGCGGGGGGCAGGGGUGGGAGGUCUAAUCUGUUUACAGCCAUUUCCGUGCCAUGCUUUUGGUUACACGUAUCUCAGUCACGCUUUCUGCCUGGUUGGUGGAUCCUCAGGCUUACCAGUGGCUAUUUGCAAGAGCCUGUUUCCAGCCUCCGUCAGCCUGUCGGUGCUCUGACCCUCUGAAACCUUGCUUUGCUGGGCAUCUCCCCAUGUUCUCUCUCCUGUACAUAGUGGGCAGUGGUGUGUGGUUUUGAAUGGCAGUGCUAUAAAGGAUGCCAGCUGUGCUUCAGGCACCUGUAGGCCAGAGGGUUGCUGCCUCAGGCAUAAGGUUGGUAUGAAAAGGGGCUGCCUUAGAAAAGCAGGCACAUCCCUUGUUCAGAAAUGGCCACUGUAGAAAGCCCGUGAACCUCCCACCAGUGGCUUUAAGCUGCCAGCCAUGCCCCAUUUCUAGAAUAGCCUUUGCUCUUCCACACGCAACCCUUCCAUCAUGUGUCUUCCAGCCUGCAUGGGGAGGGCCUGGCUGCCCAGACACCCACCCUCACUUCUCAUGGCCAGCCUGUGUUUGCAGAUCACUGGGCUGCUCUGUCCCCAGUUUGCCCCGUGCCAGGCAUGGCUCUGAGAGAUUCUGUGGCAUGCCCUUCUUGACUUGUGGAAAUCAUUCACCAAGUACGAUGGGAUGGGAUUCCAAGUAAACAGGGGACCGUCAUUUUGCAAAGCAGGCCCACGCCUGGGCUGGCCUUGGUUGAGGGGAUGGAGGAAUGUUUUCGGGGGUGCUUUGCAGGGCAGUGGUGCAGCCGCAGCAUGAACGCUCUUGGACAGCUGAAAACCAUGGCCUCCUCGGGGAUGGCCAGUGCUCCUGGUGUCUCCACCUGCCUGGGUUGUGCAGGAGGCCGGCUGCCAGUGCCUGGGGCUGGGAAACUUUUUUGCUUGGGGCAGGCUUGGGCGAGCUCUCCCAGAUAUGUGCCCACCCCACCACUGCCUGGAAGCAUCCUUGUUCUCUGCCAGGAUGCAGGGGCACUGUUGCCUCUGACACAACAGUUUCUGGGAACUCAGAGGACUGCCUUUCUGAAGGCUGGGGAGAGGCUUUGAGCAAGGAGCUUGUUUUUGCUUAAUCCCUCUAGACCAUCCCUGAUGCGUAGAUGUGAGAGGAUGUUUUCUGGCACAGUGUUAUGAAAAUACAAGAGAAAUGGUCUCAGUGGAAUGUUUCAUAUUACCCGAAAAAAACUGGAAAUCAUCCUUUGUUGUGAACACACUGAGACUAAGAAUUGAAGCAAUGCAGUUUUAAGAAGUAUUUUUCCUGUCAACUUUUUGGCAAUGCCACGGCAAAGUUGGUGUUUCAGCACAUGCUAGAGUGAGCUCCGGCUUUGUGGCUUUAGUGGAGUUGGUUAAUGUUUCACUGGGUAGACAGAGCUGGCCUGUAUAUUUAGCCAGAAGCCUUUGCCUCUUUUCAGGCAUCAAAAAUGGGUUUUGUCAUUGUCUUUGUCUUUGAGAGCAGCAGUUUGAGGUCUGACUCCUUUAGUUGUCCUGUGAGCUGGGCGUUGCAGUCUGCUCGAAUCAAGUGUUGGAACCCCCGCCCCCCCGCACCCCUCAGCCCAUCGUGAAACGACAGCUGUCAGCCUGGGGGGCAGCUGCUGAGGAGGUGCAGCAGGAAUGGGGCUGGGCCCUCAGGUUUUACUUUCCAAGCCAAUGGCCCCUGGAACAUGCCAGCACACACUGCCAUGUCCUGGGGCUAAGAGCUGCCUUUAGGGACAGGCUCGUGUUGUCCAGUUUGCCCUGAGAGAUGCACCUGACCAGGGGCCCGUCGUGGCUGCAACCCACGGUGGUAUGUUAGUGUUUCCAGGCAGUUGUCAGCAGCUGCCGGGCAGUGUGUGUGUGUGACAGCAGGAGAGUUCCUGGAGGAAAGGGCCUGGGGACACUUUCUCAGAGGUUCUCCUGCCUGGAAUCAAGUGAUGCGUGUCCAGAAGGCAAGAGAGGGCAGCUCCGCCUGGUUAAAGUUUGGGAACGGGACGGAGCCAACUCCUCCUUCCAGGACUGUGGGCCCCACUCUUUUGCGCUAACACUUCCCCUCCCUCGGGUCACUGAGGAAAGAGCUGCUCUGUCCCCUCCAGUGCCCUGAAGGUCCCUGGCCUCCACUGGCUGCCAUGGCAGGGGGCCCUUCUGACAGGGGCUGCCCCAUGCUGCUGUUCCUCCUCUGAACCUUCACCCCAACACCCAGCCCGUGGCCCCUGCAAGGGGGACCCUGCCAGCUGGGAAACCCAAAGGCCUGUCCAAAUGCGUGCACCAGGACCGAGGGGAGCUCCCUCCCCACACCUGCUAGGAAUUGCCAACUUUUAAAUGGAUGGGGUUGUUUAUGGGUUGAACCUCUGUUAAUACUUUUGUACACUCUCACUACAGUUUAUAUUUUUAUAGGCUAUUUUCUCAAGGUGUUUCUAGAUUCCACAUAUCUAUUUUAUAUAACAAGUUCUUAUGUUAUGUGUGUGACUCCCUUGUGUGUAUCUGUGCCAGCCUCAGCCUUCGAGUUGCUCUUCCCUCUGGCCCUCUCACUGACUCACCGAUGUGAUGUGCGGGCCCACUUCUUACCCCAGGUAGCCUCGGGCGCUGCCUGUAGUCAUGCUGACAGCUGGAGACGGUUCUGGUUUCAACUACGGUAUAUUGAUAUCGGAAGUAUUCUAGACAGAUCCUCGGUUGGGUUUUCUAGCUACAUGUUUGUAUUGCACAGAUCCUCACCUGCCAUCCUAUAGUGUUGUCUUCCUGUGUGUUCCGGGGCUUCCCCCCCCGGGGAAGUCCUUGCAGGUGGGAGGCCAUACAGAGACCCAGUGUGUGCCACUGAGCAUCCCACCUCUGCUGGGCAACUGGAGGACUGCAGGGGGCGCCAGGUGACUCUCUCCUUUUAUAUCACAGCAGCUCCUGUGCUGACCUUCAAGUUACGUUUUGGAACUGUAAUACUAAAGGAAGAAAUAAACUACUAAUUUGUAUAA
RNAcentral lists this small RNA (4346 nucleotides) under Pan troglodytes (chimpanzee). RNAcentral's name for it is "retained intron". The record is from RNAcentral. Lineage: Eukaryota; Metazoa; Chordata; Mammalia; Primates; Hominidae.